Misgurnus anguillicaudatus (oriental weatherfish) is the source of this 955-nucleotide non-coding RNA. NCBI's taxonomy places the organism in Eukaryota, Metazoa, Chordata, Actinopteri, Cypriniformes, Cobitidae. The record is from RefSeq and is a predicted model, not a curated record.
UGUCACGGCUGUUUAUGCAACCUGCCCAUGGUAUUGGCCGCCAUCUUGGACGUGACGGGUCUCGCUGACGUCGGGUUGAUGAUCUCAUCUGUCCGACUUUACAGGACGACUUCGAGUAUCAUUAUUCAGAAGUUAUUUUCAAGUGGUGAUCACAAACACGACGUUGAUAUAGAGACAGAGCCGAGUCAGAAGAACGGGACAAAAGCAUGAAAACCACUGCUGAAUUACAGAAGUAACCCGCCGUGCUGAGGGAGGCCGAGAUUACUGAAUGCAAACAAGAGGAACACAGAUGGGCUUCCCUCUGCCCUUGACUGGAGGCACGGCACAAACGAAAAAUUUGCAUCUCAAAGGGCUUGUGGGAUGCGGGCCGAUGCCACUCUGUAGUGAAACACUGCAGUGGAGUUGAGCGGAAGUGACAGAUGAUAUCACCUUGUGGGUUGAGCUCUAAUGGCCUGUGAAUGACUCUCACAAUCCCACAACUAACUAACUGUCAUAAUGAGCUAAUACAAUCAGCUCAGCGCUGAUGAAGGCAGUCUUUAUCUGGCCUGGAGAAAAUUCAAUUCAAUUUUAAUUUAUAAAGCGCUUUUCACAAAGUGUGUGUGGAUGUGGGACAGGGAUGCAACAAGCUCUACACCAGCAAAACAAAUCUAGCAAGCUGCCUAAACAGUAUUUUACUUCUUGCUUUAAAAUUGCUUUGCAGCAAUGGCUGUCAGAUUGAAACCAUAAUUCAUCUGAUUACCCCAAACUUUUAACAGUCCGUGAAAUCCCAAUUUACUUUAUUUAAUUGUUUAGCACACAUUGUUUUUGUUUUGAAAACUUUACAACAUCAUGUGGUCUUUGAAACCUUUGUAAAAACAGAUUAAAACUAUUAGCUUGACAGCAACAUAAAAUAACACCAGGAAUAGACAUUUUAAUAAUGAGGCAUGUUCAUUCUGUAAAUCACUUGUGACCCUGG